This is a long non-coding RNA of Scylla paramamosain (green mud crab), 2034 nucleotides long. RefSeq lists it as uncharacterized. The transcript is spliced from 2 exons. The record is from RefSeq and is a predicted model, not a curated record. Lineage: Eukaryota; Metazoa; Arthropoda; Malacostraca; Decapoda; Portunidae.
CCUUGGCGAGAAAAUAGUACUGGAAUCAAAACAAACUGGAUUGUCUUCUUUGACUAUAUUCGUUCUUAUGUGACAGCGUGUUCUUCGGCACACGAGCGUGGCGUGGAAAGUGAGGUGUUGUAACCUUGAGGGUAAGCGAGGUGACGUGCUCGUGGCGUGACAGUACUCCUGAGUGGUGGAAAGACUCUGUUUGGGACCUGCUUCCUGGAGGGCGGCUCAGAGCUGACCUAUUUUUUCGUGUUUUUGCCCAAUGUGAGACUCUUCUCUCUUGAUUUUGCACCGCUAUGACCUCAUUACUCUCUAAACACGUGUGUUAAUUAAAAAUCUAAAUCAAAGAUGUAAGUGUGACGACUGAUUGAAGGACGGUUCGCUAUUAUAAUAAUAUAUUGGUAACAGUACGUACAUAAUAAUAAUGGUAAUAAUAAUAAUAGUUUUGGGUUAAGACUUUCGGUGUGAUCCCUGUGCAGGUGUCUGAAAUAACACCAGCCAGAAUUUUUACAACUUUUAUUAGAGGAAACUCAGUUUUACUUGGCCUCAGGUGUAAGAAUUCCUCUCAUGAAUGGCAUUACAGUGUUAAUGCUAAUGUGAAGACUGCACUAUCUGGAAAUACUGUGCAAGUGGUGGAUGGAGUGAAAGCAAGCCCAGCAUUCAGAGGAUAGCAUUAGGUUUGCUGUGCCUAUGGUGACCCAGCCAUUGAAAGUUGGACCUUGUUAAGUAUCAUGGAUAUCUCUGUUUAAAUAAGGUACGUAGGGAGAGGUUGGGAGGCGCGGCACAGGCUGAGACGAGGCUGAGGUAUGCAGUGUUGGUGAGGCAGGAGGAGUAUUCUGCCGCUUGGAGAGAGAGAGAGAGAGAGAGAGAGAGAGAGAGAGAGAGAGAGAGAGAGAGAGAGAGAGAGAGAGAGAGAGAGAGUGUGUGUGUCUGACUUAAUGUGUCCAGAUGGUGUUGGCUGUUAAACAGGUGAUAUGAUUCUGUAAGGCAUCAUGAGCGAGGCACCAACCACAUGUCUGUCUUUGUCCAUAUGGCGUGCCUGCAAUGUAUCAGUCUCAACAGUUACUAUUAUAUAUAUAACAAGCUAAUUACCCACGACUUCCAAGCUACCAGAAUCGCCGCCUCACUCCGGUCAUCCACGCUACCAACACUCCAAGCAUCUCCAUCAACUGGACAAGUAACAAUCAUCAUGUCAUCAACUCAGAACAGAGGUGAAUAAUCAACUCAGAAGCACUGGUGGGCAACUUCAUUCAAACAGUGGUGGACAGAAGCUUCCUGAUACAGCAACAUGGAGGCUCAACUUAUGUUAUUAUUUUUUUUUGUAGAUUUUUUUGUAACUAGGAGUUUUGAAGAAGCUAAAUGAUUUCCUUUUUAUUGUAAUCAGUUUGUAUUCCAUUUCUUAUAUUCAAUUUUCCUCUCUGCCUCGGUCUCUGUCUUUGUGUGCCAUCGCUCAAUGGUGGUGCCACAUAUCCCACCUCGUCAGGUGCACCGCUGCCGCCACACGUACUGUCGCCCAUCUCUGUGUAUCAGAUGUACCAGGCUGGAAGUGUGUUGUUGUUGGUAGCUUGACACGGGGACCUCCAUCCUCCACUGCGCCCUUAGUUGUUCCUGCAGUUUCCCUCCUUACAUGAUACAGUUAGGAAGGUGAUGGAAUUACAUGUUGUGCAUUCGUCAGUACAUUUGAUACAGCGUAAAUAUUGUUGAUCGACUGCUGACUGACUGACCCUCUCCGACCUCGGACUUCACAUGCGGCCGAGAGACGUCCACCAGUCAGAUGCAGGUGAAUCAUAGGGCCACGUGGAGUUUAUGGCGACAAGGGAAAAGGGUGUGCAGAUCAGGGAGGAAAUGUGCACAUGUUCUUCAGGUGUGCUGAGGUCGAGGGGAAGGAAAGAGGCCGUGUCGGGUUGGGCUGAUGUCAGGGUGUCGUCAGAUCAAGAAGGUAGUGUUUAAAUAGUAUGAGGGCGCUCUCUCUCUCUCUCUCUCUCUCUCUCUCUCUCUCUCUCUCUCUCUCUCUCUCUCUCUCUCUCUCUCUCUCUCUCUCUCUCU